UCGAGAAUCUUCGGCAAUGGGCGCAAGCCUGACCGAGCGACGCCGCGUGGAGGACGAAGGCCUUCGGGUUGUAAACUCCUGUCGAGGGGGAAGAAGCCGCAAGGUUGACUGAUCCCUGGAGGAAGCACGGGCUAAGUUCGUGCCAGCAGCCGCGGUAAGACGAACCGUGCGAACGUUAUUCGGAAUCACUGGGCUUAAAGCGCGUGUAGGCGGGGCGGCACGUCGGCCGUUGAAAGCCCCCGGCUCAACCGGGGAACGGGCGCCGAUACGACCGCCCUCGAGGGACGUAGGGGGACCUGGAACUUCCGGUGGAGCGGUGAAAUGCGUUGAGAUCGGAAGGAACGCCCGUGGCGAAAGCGAGGUCCUGGACGUUUUCUGACGCUGAGACGCGAAAGCCAGGGGAGCGAACGGG
Molecule: ribosomal RNA, 412 nt
Filed under: uncultured bacterium
Lineage: Bacteria
Description: bacterial SSU rRNA
Rfam family: Bacterial small subunit ribosomal RNA
Source: RNAcentral